Molecule: ribosomal RNA, 355 nt
Filed under: Bradyrhizobium sp. 11LoS31_5
Lineage: Bacteria; Pseudomonadati; Pseudomonadota; Alphaproteobacteria; Hyphomicrobiales; Nitrobacteraceae
Description: bacterial LSU rRNA
Rfam family: Bacterial large subunit ribosomal RNA
Source: RNAcentral
AAUCAAGUGCCUUAAGGGUGUUCGGUGGAUGCCUUGGCGCUGAGAGGCGAUGAAGGACGUGCUACGCUGCGAUAAGCCGUGGGGAGCUGCGAAGAAGCUUUGAUCCACGGAUUUCCGAAUGGGGAAACCCACCUUCGAUAGCUGGAACUCCAAGAUCUCUAUCUUGGGGUUCGUGCAGCAAUGUGUGAGACCAAGCCGUGAGGUUUUGGAUUUCCAGUUAUCAAGUGAAGGUAUGAAAUCUCUGAAUUCAUAGGAGGUUUUAAGCGAACCCAGGGAACUGAAACAUCUAAGUACCUGGAGGAAAGGACAUCAAUCGAGACUCCGUUAGUAGUGGCGAGCGAACGCGGACCAGGCC